CUAGGGGGUAUAUAAAGCCGCCAUCAAACGCGCACGAAGGCAUUUCCUGAGUCAUUUUCGAACGGAGAAGGCUGUAUCUUGCUCGGUGAUUUAUAGUCUUGUGUGUAGUUGUGCAACUUUCUUCCAUUGUUCUACAAGAAACACGAGCCAGAUACAGUCUCACCGUUUGAGAUGGCAUUGGGACGGGCGGAGGAACUUGCUGUUUGCAGCGAUGCUGGGCGUACCGCAGAAUUGGGGACCCCAUGUUCUAGUCUCUACACCUUUCAUUGGUUUGGUUUGUAAACUGUAUCGGAACCAAUGCAUUUCUAUUUGCAAUUUUUUGUAAUAAUAUACCAAUCGAGUUCGUCAAACAUGUUCGAAGAGCGUUUGAUUCGAUAUUUUUUUUUUUCAGAAGUAUGGCGGUUACAUAAAAAAAUAUGUACUUAUAUAGCUUAAAGAAAAUUUGUAUAGUACAGUUUAACAUGUAGAUUUAAUAGCGUUUUAAAUAUUUAUUUAAUGAUCAAAAAAUAAUUUUAUAUGUAGAUUUUGUACUUAUUUAUAAAUGUUAAUUAACAGUUUUGUAAAUAUUGUGAUACAGCAAAGCAGCAGCGGAAAAAAAUAAAAAAGAAUAAUAAAAAUUGAAAAUGUUAAUAAUUUUCCUAUGAUUUUUAAAUCGCCAUAUUAAUGCCAAAAAUCCUUUUCAGUCCAGCAUACUACAUAAAAUUCUGUCGAACGCAAGAGUGUCCCGCACGUGUGUCCAGGCUGUUGGUCGUCAUCGGCGACACUAUUUGGCCUGUCUAUAUAUGAGAUAAGGAAUGGAGAGGAUUGGUAUGGGAUAAACAAAGGGGCAAAGUCUUUGUUUUUAGAAAUUUGCGCACCACGAUCAAGUCGUACAUAAACGUCUCAUUCGCGCUUCCGUAUCUUGAACAUCCGAGCAUCAACUAAUUCAAAAAUCAAUGUGAUGCGUGAUAUACAUAGGCUUACUGUGACAUACUGCAGCAACUUCGAGCAAGUUCUAUUUUGGUGAGCUAAUCCCUUCUGUUCGUUACCUGUGCAAAUAUAUUUUCUCAGGUCCAGAAAAAAUUUUUCCAAUGUUUAUGCAACUGAAUUCUAUAUGGGUUUCCCUGGCUAUUAUUAAUCCUUCAAAGUUGAUCAAGCUGGACACUUAACGUAUAUAUUGUUCCAUUUGAAUUAAAAUGUAUAAAAGUUUCAAGGUAUGGAGUAAAUUAAACACAUCUUUGUUGAAUUUAGAUGAUCCAGUAAGGCGAGUUACUGCAAGUAGCAUAACUAAUUUCAAUAAUAGGCAUGCAUAUGAAGUAUAAAAAACUCAAUUUGAAUAGGAAAUUGCUAUAAAUUUUUACUAGUACUAUAUUAAAUAUUUAGGAAUCAUUACUAGAUACUUACUUUUCACAGAUUUUAAUAUUACUUCACUUACUCGUUGGGUGCUAGAGCAAGAAGAACUUCAUGUAUCAUUAGAUUAACAAAUAAAAAAAGAAUGAUUCCUGAUAAGUGAUAUGCAACAGGGUUAUGGAAGUAAAGAGACUGAUUUAUAUAUAUUACAGUUCAAUUGAUACGAGAAACUACAUUGGGAAUAUUCUGAAAAAAUUUUUUAAUGAUAGUAGGAAAACAGUGAUACAAGGAUGACAUGCAGAUAUUUCUAAAUUAAAUUUUUAAGUAUAACAUAUAGAUGAUAUUUUCAUAUUUUGAUGUUUUUAAAAAACAAAAUUAUGUUUAAUGUUUUUAAAUUCCAAGGAAUACAUCAUCAAUAAUUCAGUUCUCGGACGUUAUUGGAAAUUGCUUACUUAUACAAUUAUAAUUAAGCAAGUUACAGGUUUGAUUUGAAGUUUGUUUAAAGGAAUUUAAUUUCUUCUAUAUGGUUGCAAAUGCAAUGUGAAGUAUCAUGCUUUUAUAAUUAUUGUUUUAAAUAUUUUUUCUUGAAAUAUUGUGGUUCGGGUGUUUGUUUUGUACUGCAGGAAUAACCAAUUUCGUAGUCAUGGUGUACAACUAAACAACUACAAGCAAUUAUUUCUAUUCCUGGAACAUGUUGGAUUCAUAUUGCAAAGUGGUAUGUUGAUUAGAAUGAUUUAGUUCCGAGUUGUAGGGGAGGGAGGGAGUUAUUAUGUUUCAGCUAAGCUUGGAUAGAGAGAAUCCUUUUAAUCGACGAGGUACAUAAAGGUGCACUUAAAAUAUAUUCCGGUAACUCCUAAUUGGAUAAAUAUGAAUAACUUUUAAUCUUGAUAAAUAUCACAAUCUACAUAUCUAUCUAUAUAACUGCAGUUUUGACAAAAAAUAUUGAUCAAAGAAAGGUAAAUAAAUCCGAUUUUUAAAAUAGAAAAGGUAUGUUUUGGUUGAAGGUAACAAUUUAAUAUGAUAAAUGAUUUCUAAUAAACAUUAAAUAUUGUUGAGAACUUCGAGAAAUAGAACUUAUACUAUAAGCUGCAGAUUUAAUAUUGUAUUUCUUUCAUCAUAAUGGAUGCUACAUAUUUUGAUGACAUUUUUAUAAUAAUGGAGAUAUAUAUCAUAUAUUUUAUACCAGGAAAUAAUUCUACAAUUUCAAUAAUUUAAACUAUUCACAAUUAUAAUAGAUAAGCAUGAUGCAAUAUAUUUCAUUCAGUUGCUGAAGAAAUUCAAUUGACAGUGGAACAGAUUUCUGCCAAAAGAAGAAGAAUAAAACGAGGAUUUGUAAUAUAUAUAAUUGUUUACUAUUUUAAGUUUAAAUAUUUUAGAUCUAUAAAAAGUGAUAUACAUUUAAUUUUAAUAAAUGUAUCUUGAAAUUACAUCUGAUUUUGAUAUUUCUAUAAUUUGUCAAGACAUGUAGGACGUAGAUCUAGGAAAAAGAGGAGACAAAGGAAUAUAAGAAAGGUGCUAAUGGUUUUAUUUUUUCACAAUGAGAAAAAGGGCGGAUUAGUAUAUAUAUCAAAUAAUUUAAAUAUAAAAUCGGUUAAAGCAUGUUAAGCAUGGUAGUGUUAUAUUCAUAAAAAUGAUCAAAUUAUUGUUAUUUAAAUGUACCUAUAUUGGCUGUUUUGGAUGUCUGUGAUUUUUGCUUCAGGAAAUUGAAGACAAUUCAUAUUGUUAUAUGAAUUUUAUAAUAAGUUUCCUAUUCUAUGGAGAAAAAUCAUGCCAUGAAAUACAUCUGAACAUGUAUGUAUUGUAUGAAUGUAAUUUUUAUUAUAUUUAGAAAACGAUGUUGGAUAUACUAAAACGAUAUAAAUAUCAAUUUUUAUAUUCAAGAGAUUGAUAACAUUUUUGAUAAAUUUAUAAAGAUAAGUUUCCAAUAUUUUAUUUAAAUAUGAUAAUAUAUAAGUUAGAAUAAAUUUUUAUUGAAUUUUUUUAUUGAAAAAAAAGAUGAAGGAUUAAAUUACUAACUUCAUAGAAUCUGUAGAUAUAUUUCAGAAAAUUUGUGUACAGAAAAAAUUUUCUAAAUGGAAGAGAGGUUACAUCAUCUUAGUUGAGACUUGACUAAGCUUGGCUGAAAAUAAACUUAUUUGAAAUAACGAGAAAGUAAUACAAUAUGUCUCAAUUCAGAUAAAUUAAAUGUUCAAAAAAUUCAAUCAAAUAUUUUAAAAAUGCAUUUAAAAUAUGUCAUUGAAAGUAACCUCUAUAUCAAAACUAGUUUAUCUAAAGUGAUAAACAUGAGUUUUCAUCUUCGAUUUUACUUUUUGAAGAUAAUUAUCGAAUGUUAUAGAAAUCGAAUAUAUCUAUUCAAGAAAAAUUUAAAUCAAGAUAAAUUAUGUUACAACUUAAACUGUUUUAUGGGAUAGUAUGCUGGUUAUGUUCAAUGGAUCCAAUUGGAUAAUUGGAAUUAAACAAGAUUUUUAAAUUAAUAACUUUCUAAAUCUCGUAAUUAGAAAGGAAAUUUGUUCUAUUUUUUUAUGGAGAAAUAAUUUUAAAGUUGAUGUGAAAUUAACUCAAGUAACUUUAUUUACUCAUACAUACAACAAUUGAAGAUUUUGAAUAUAAAAAAAUAUGAUGCAAAAUUAAAAUAGGAUUUAAUUUUUCAUUAAAAAAUUUAAUGAUGAGUG
Molecule: long non-coding RNA, 4001 nt
Filed under: Apis florea (little honeybee)
Lineage: Eukaryota; Metazoa; Arthropoda; Insecta; Hymenoptera; Apidae
Description: uncharacterized LOC100863147
Source: RNAcentral